CAGGCACUAAGCUGGGCACUGGGAAUGUAAUAAAAUAGUCAAGGUCCCACCUUCUAAGACUGUCCGACAGGGAAACGAACAAGAGUCAAAUAAGGCAGAAGAUGUGAUGUAAUACACCUACGAAAUCUCAGAGGGUUGUAGGGUCGUGGGAGCUCAAGUGAGACACUUAACCUGGCCUGAGACAUUCCAGAAGGCCUCCUGAAGAACUGACAUCUGAACUGAGAACUGAAGGAAGAUGAGUACUAGUGAGGCUACCGGACGUGAAUGUGGAGAUUGUGCAGGGCAAUGCAAGAGGAGGCUGUAGAAGUCAACCUGGCUAGAUCACAGCGGGGUGUAUGUGGGGCAGGAGCUUCUUUGUUUGAAUUUGCUCCUGAGAGGAUGAGGCCUCCUAGAGCACUGGCUCCUGGACAGCAACCUCCUUUGGUGCCUUGUGACCAGGGCCCUGAUGGUUCAUUAGAUGGAGCCUUCGAGUCUUAGGGAGUUGCCGCAGGGUCCCCACAGCGGCUCCCGACGGUUGUGAACCAGCAUCCAUCCUCCACGGAUUCCGGCAACCCGCCUGGCCCUGGACGUGUCUCAACUGGCCCGCGUGAGGGGCCGCCCCGGAAAUGACGCGCUGCCCCGCUGGCCAAGCGGAAGUGGAGAUGGCGGAGCUGUACGUGAAGCCGGCCCCAGUAUAAGCUAACAGUGGAGUUCCGGGCUCGCUUCACACAUCCCUCGCCUCCGCAGGCAACAAGGAACGCGGCUGGAACGACCCGCCGCAGUUCUCAUACGGGCUGCAGACCCAGGCCGGCGGACCCAGGCGCUCGCUGCUUACCAAGAGGGUCGCCGCACCCCAGGAUGGAUCCCCCAGAGUCCCCGCAUCAGAGACUUCUCCUGGGCCUCCCCCAAUGGGGCCUCCACCUCCUUCAAGUAAGGCUCCCAGGUCCCCACCUGUGGGGAGUGGUCCUGCCUCUGGCGUGGAGCCCACAAGUUUCCCAGUCGAGUCUGAGGCUGUGAUGGAGGAUGUGCUGAGACCUUUGGAACAGGCAUUGGAAGACUGCCGUGGCCACACAAGGAAGCAGGUAUGUGAUGACAUCAGCCGACGCCUGGCACUGCUGCAGGAACAGUGGGCUGGAGGAAAGUUGUCAAUACCUGUAAAGAAGAGAAUGGCUCUACUGGUGCAAGAGCUUUCAAGCCACCGGUGGGACGCAGCAGAUGACAUCCACCGCUCCCUCAUGGUUGACCAUGUGACUGAGGUCAGUCAGUGGAUGGUAGGAGUUAAAAGAUUAAUUGCAGAAAAGAGGAGUCUGUUUUCAGAGGAGGCAGCCAAUGAAGAGAAAUCUGCAGCCACAGCUGAGAAGAACCAUACCAUACCAGGCUUCCAGCAGGCUUCAUAAUCCUCGGUUCCCCAGACUCACCGGACACCAUCUCCUAUGCCUUGGAGACCUUCUGUCACUUGGCUCCCUUCUUACCACCACCAAGACUGUCCCACUGGGCCUGACCCACCUAUGAGGGAAGAAGUCCCACCUGGGCCAGAGGGAGUUCAUGUGUUACUCAUAACAUGCAUUUCAAUAAAAACAUCUCUGCGGUGGGCCUUGGGUAGGAGAGAUGAACCCUUCCGGUGCCAAGCUAGUCCCCUCUGGUGUCCUCGACUGCCCUGCUCCCUGUGUAUCUGCAAACCUCUGUUCUCCCUUCUCCAUUCAUCAGGAAGGGAUCUGCUGGGUAAAGUCAGACUACUGCCUACCACUUUUUCCCAAAGUAGACUGAAAGCACAUCCUGUGCUGGGCGGAGCAGCUGUGUUUGGAUGGUUUCAUUUCAGCAUGAGAACAGACUCAAAUAGAACGGGGAGACUUUUCCCUCAACAAAAGGAAAGACAGUCCUAUUUGCACUGUAUCACCCUUGAGAUACUACUGUUACAGAGAUUAGAACCACAUUGAGUGGGGUUUUCUGUGUAAAUCGAAGGAGAAAAAGACCAGAUUACUGAGAUUGGGGAUUGUAACUCUGACUUGCCAAACAAACUGCUGCCUCAU
Homo sapiens (human) is the source of this 2009-nucleotide RNA transcript. It is a transcript of the gene named steroid receptor RNA activator 1, with no coding region annotated. Lineage: Eukaryota; Metazoa; Chordata; Mammalia; Primates; Hominidae. The transcript has 5 exons. The record is from RefSeq and is marked reviewed.